GUCUACGGCCAUACCACCCUGAAUGCCCCCGAUCUUCUCUGAUCUCAGAAGCUAAGCAGGGUUGGGCCUGGUUAGUACUUGGUAUGGGAGAAAGCAUUAGACAUCAAUC
Non-coding RNA from Homo sapiens (human), 109 nucleotides. Lineage: Eukaryota; Metazoa; Chordata; Mammalia; Primates; Hominidae. The record is from Rfam.